CAAGAAGCCGAAAGGCUACUUAAAACCAUCGCGAACUUAUCCAAGUUGCUUCGGCGGCGCGGCUCCCCUCACGGGGGACCGCAGCCCCCGCCUCUCAGGAGGUAAGGGGCAGCCGCCGGAGGUACGAAACUCUGUAUUAUAGUGGUACCUCUGAGUAUAAAACAAAUAAGUUA
Molecule: unclassified non-coding RNA, 173 nt
Filed under: soil metagenome
Description: partial internal transcribed spacer 1
Source: RNAcentral